Molecule: non-coding RNA, 24 nt
Filed under: Arabidopsis thaliana (thale cress)
Lineage: Eukaryota; Viridiplantae; Streptophyta; Magnoliopsida; Brassicales; Brassicaceae
Source: RNAcentral
GAGAAAGCUGAAGGAUGUGGUUAC